GACGAACGCUGGCGGCGUGCUUAACACAUGCAAGUCGAACGCUGAAGCCCUGGCUUUUGUUGGGUUGGAUGAGUGGCGAACGGGUGAGUAACACGUGAGUAACCUGCCCUCUUCUUUGGGAUAACGCCCGGAAACGGGUGCUAAUACUGGAUAUUCACUGAUCUUCGCAUGGGGGUUGGUGGAAAGGUUUGUUCUGGUGGGGGAUGGGCUCGCGGCCUAUCAGCUUGUUGGUGGGGUGAUGGCCUACCAAGGCUUUGACGGGUAGCCGGCCUGAGAGGGUGACCGGUCACAUUGGGACUGAGAUACGGCCCAGACUACUACGGGAGGCAGCAGUGGGGAAUAUUGCACAAUGGGCGAAAGCCUGAUGCAGCGACGCCGCGUGAGGGAUGGAGGCCUUCGGGUUGUAAACCUCUUUCGCUCAUGGUCAAGCCGCAACUGUGGGUUGUGGUGAGGGUAGUGGGUAAAGAAGCGCCGGCUAACUACGUG
RNAcentral lists this ribosomal RNA (486 nucleotides) under uncultured bacterium. Its description in RNAcentral is "partial 16S ribosomal RNA". It matches the Rfam family "Bacterial small subunit ribosomal RNA", at positions 28 to 507 of the family's 1533-position model. The record is from RNAcentral.